This is a microRNA precursor of Macleaya cordata, 109 nucleotides long. It matches the Rfam family "mir-399 microRNA precursor family". Rfam says of the family: mir-399 was identified in both Arabidopsis thaliana and Oryza sativa computationally and was later experimentally verified. mir-399 is thought to target mRNAs coding for a phosphatase transporter. The record is from Rfam. NCBI's taxonomy places the organism in Eukaryota, Viridiplantae, Streptophyta, Magnoliopsida, Ranunculales, Papaveraceae.
GGGUGAAUGGCAGGGCAAUUCUCCCUUGGCGGAUAGAAAGCUAUAGGUGUUAACGACGAACUGUAAUGUCUUUCUCUCUGCCAAAGGAGAAUUGCACUGUUAUUCAUCA